CAGAGAGUUCCAGAGAACCAAAUAGAAGCAGAAAACAAUGGGAAAAAAAAAUGCAAAAAGAAGUAGAGAAGAAUCGAGAAACAUGAGGAAAAAGAGAGAGAAAAGAGGGGAAGAGAAACAAUAACUAGAAUUGCAAAUAAACAGGUAAGGAGCAGCAACAUCGACGUGAAUAAGGUCGAAUUAUGCUUCUCGCUUGGGGUUGAUUCUUGACUGCAACAAGGUAACACCAAAUUGUAGUAGUUCAGGUUUAUGGAUUUUGUUUUCAUCAUUAUAGUUAUUGGUAGCAAUUAGACCUAAGAAGCAGGGCAAGCCCUAAGGAAGAAAGGAAAUGGGUUAAUUUGAUCAUGUGAACAAGAAUUUCAUCACAAAAUAAUUGGAAUUGUACGUGAUGGGCUGUGCAUAAUGAUGCCCAUAUAUAGCUAAAUACAGGUACUAAGGCAAGAGAUGGGUUAGUUCAACAAAGGUGAGUAGGGUUAUUAUGAAUAUAAGUCCACCAUUAAACAUUAGUAAAGGAGUGGAGAAACAACAGGAGAAUAUUUGGUUUAAACUUUGGAGACUUGUUAAGACAUUACUGAUGAAUUCUAUAUGAAAGAAAUUUAAUGGCUUAUUUUCAAUAAAGAAAUGAUAUGGGCAAGAUUAUGGUGAAUUAUAAUUUAAUUUUAUGGUGCUAGGUUGUUUUGCUUCAUUUUCAAAGUUAAACCAAUGCUUCAAAUUGUGAAGUAUUAUAUGGACAGAAAUUUAUAUACAUUGAAUAGAAACAGGAACGAGAAUGAGUUAAAGGAGUUUUGAUUAUGGAUUUGACCAAUUGUUAUUAAUUGGUACCUGCAACAAGAGAGAAAAGAAUGGGACUCUACUUUAAAUUCUUCUUUUACCUUCAAACAAAAAUAAUUAUUUUCAAUUAGAAAGUGACUGCAAUUGGAUAUUUCUUUGGUCCAUUGGCUAGGGGGUUGGAUUAAAUGGUUGCUAAUACGAAGAAAUGUUACAUUUUUUCAGGAAAUAUCGAGGUCAGGACACUUGAUGAUCGAAUUAGUCCUGUAAGUGGAAAAACCCUAAAUAUUUUCAAGUAUUGAUAAAUUAAUUAUACGAAUACAUUAUGUGCAUUUAUAUGUUCGAUUACAUGAUUAUUUUGGAAAUAUUCUUUGAUUCUGAUAUUUGUGGAAUUCAAAGAUUAGAUAUGAAAAUAUUUGUGAUUUGGAAUGUGAGACAUGUGAUAUUAAGAUCGAUCAGAAAAGUACUCGUGAUUAUAUAUUUCUUCUAGUUCACAGAUAAGUAAGUCCCUUAGCUAUGGGAUUAAACUAAUGAUGCAUGUAUACAAGUGAACAUUAAGGAUUUGUGAUUUUCUGAAUUAGGGGAUUUUGAUUUUGGGGGAAUAUGGUUACUUGGAAUUGGAGGUUUUUCUUUGGUAAAAGAAUAGAAUUUUGGGACUUUUUUGGUGGACUAAUAGAAGCUGUCAACAGAAUCAAUUUAUAUAUGGUUGUUUAUUGUUUUUCAUUUUUACUUUGUAAAAUGUAGUAAUAAUAGUAUAAAAAAAAUUGGAAUGUAUUUUAUGAAUUAUUAUUUUAAAAUGUGUAUUAAGUGUAAUUUAGUCUUUUCCUUCUCUCUACAUAAAUACACAAUUUUGAGUUUGUAUUACCAGUAAUCAGAUCUGUUGAUUAACAAUGAUCUGGUUUAUUUUUUCUUUCUGAUUUUUGUUGUUUUGAUUGUAUAGUUUUCAAUAUUUGAAGAAGAGAAAAAGAGAAUAAUAGAUGUUUGGUAUAGCAACAAAGAAGUGUAAUAAUAGCAAGUAUUAUGAGCUAUUGGAGUUUCAAAGAAUGCUUCAGAGGAUGAUCUCAAGAAGGCCUACUGUAAAUCUGCCAUCAAGAAGGAGGCGAGCCUCGAAAUGUAAUUUCUCUAAAUUUUAUUAGUGCAGUGUAUAUUUUAUUUGUGAAUUGGUCUUUUGAGGAUUUUGAUCUAUAAAAUCCUUUUUUUUUUUUUUUUAAAUCUGAAUUUAGCUUUAGUCAGCUGCUUUGUGAAGUAUGAUUUAAUGGUUAAAGUCAUCCAUGGAUCUGUACAAACAAUAAUUGUUGACUAGAAUGCCUGCAAGUUAUCAUAUAUUAUAGGAAAGUUUAUAGGUUCAAAUUUGCGGUUGGCUUAAUAUCUAUAGUAAUUAAAAAUGUGGAAAUUGUUUUUACGUUGAACUGAUAGAUUAUAUUGCAAGUUUAAAACUACUGUUGUAUUAUUUUCUAUGGACUUAUUGAGCUAUCCAUUUACAAACAGAGUGACACGUUAUCAAGAAACAAUUUUUCCAAACAUACUGCUAAAUAUGACUUUUGUUUUGUUUUAAUUAUGAAUAUAGUUGAUAUAUCAUUCUUGUCUUUUUCAUGUCGAAUAUAAUUCCAUGAAUCAUGAUCCAUAUGUAUACUGACAUAAAAUUAUUUUGGAGCAAUCUUAAUAAUUUUAUAUUCGAUCUUGGAUUUCUCACAAGACUUGUAGCUCGUCUGGUGCUCAAGCGGCAGAGUUGUCACACACCUAUCAAUAGUAUGUCGCUUCAGCGACGGGGUUAUUCGGUCUAGGUCCGUUUCGUGUUUUGAAGUGUUUCUGGAUUCAUAUUAAUCUAUAAGUUGAUUUCUAAGGUUUAUAUAUAUAGUUCUCUUAACAUUCAAUAACAUUUUGAGAGUAUAGAAUUCAAAAUAUUGAGAUAUUUUUACAUUGUAGACACAAUUAUUAUUGACUAUAGUGAAAUUCUCCUCUGUUUAUUAUUUUUUCCCAUCUUGGGUUUCUACUUAAAUCUUGGUACUCUUAUUUGUUCUUGUUUAUUUCAUUAUUGUCAUAGUCUUGCGAUCAAUUCAUAACAAGUUGUUAUUUCUCCCAUGAAUUCGUCGUUAUUUUCUUCAUUUUAGGUUUUGUGAACCACCCUGAGUAGUUCAACCAUGAAAUUACUAGCAUAUAUUUUAUUUGUAUUUGUUUUGGUUUUGGUUUUGAUUUUGGUUUUGGUUUUGGAGUUAAGCAAGUUUGUAAAUAAUACGUUGGUCUAUAUCUAUUGGGUCGAUAAUAAUAAGAUUUUUUAUCCAUUUUGAAAUUAUUUAUUUUUUUAUAAUUGCACAUUUAAGCUUUCUUGGAGUCAUUUUUAAUUAAGUAGGUUACAUUUUCAAAUUAUUGAAUUACAAUUCAAUUGAAAAGUAACAAAUUGAAAGUUAUAUGUUUAAAAUAGUAUCCACAACAUACAUAAAUAUAGAAAAAAUAAAUUACGCAAUAUUUGAAUAUCGUUGAAGUGACAAACUUUUUUAGCUGUAAAAUAAAUUUAAGUGCGAGUACAGAUAAAUAAAUAUUUAUUGUCAAAAAAUAAUUUGCGCAAUAAUUUUAUACGUGUAAAAUAAAAUGUGUAACAUAUAUGAAUAAUCACGAAAUAAAUUAGGCAACAAUUAUACAUUCUUGUACGAAUGGUGAGGCUAUAAACUCUUUGUGUUAUGAAACAAAUUUAAUUACAAACAUCACUUGUUCAUAAUAAAUUGUACUACAAAUUUUGAAUAUCUUAAAUUAUAAAAUGCAACAUAUCAAAUGCAUUGUAAAUCAUAUUUCAUGACAAACUUGUUAUUAGAGAUAUUAAUACGAGCAUGCAUGGUUGUAAAAUAGAAUAGGCAAUAAAAGUUAUACUUCUAAAAAUUAUUCGUAACAAAUCUCAAUUUUUGCGACAACUUUUUCUUGUUGCAAAAUUGAUUUUUUUUGUAGUGGUCUCUUAUAAAAAAGUAAAAAUCUUAAUUAGCACAACAAAUGUGAGAACAAUUUAAUGUUCUAAUUGAAGUUUUGAUAAAAUUCAAUCCACAAGAAACAUAUAAGAAUACAAAAUAAAUUGAAUCGUUCUCCCAGGAAUUCUACGUCCAAUUCUCGGUCACCUUUGAAGUGAUAUAUUCAUUCAUGAAAAAUAUUAGUAGAAACUUCGGUUUUCAAAUGAACUAACUUUACAUCAUGAGGGCUUAGGGGUUUCCGUUAGCUCAAAAAAUCAAUUUAUGCAUGAAGACUGGGGUCAUUAAUCCAAAUUUGUCACUAUUGAUCGGGAAGUUGGUUGAUGACUAAGACUGAAACAAAAUUUGCUUAUAGUGCUUUAAUUAGGAUGAUUAGUAGGAACUGUAAUUUUAUCUUUUUAUUCCCCACCAUAUUAUCGUAAACGAGAGUUAAAAAAACAUCGGCCGUACUUGAAGUUUUGAGCCUCUCUCUUCAUUUGACACAUGACAAGAAUGCUAUAAAUAAAUUCAAUAGAAGACAAUAAUAAGAAAUCGAAAUAAAAAUCGACAUCCUAAUCAAAUUUAUUAAAAAUGGUGUACUUUAUUAAUAAACUCAAGUUAAAAACAAUAUUUAUUGACACAAAUGACAUCAACUAUAUAGUAUUGUAAUGACAAAAAUAAAAAUCAAUUCACAAGUAAGAAUACAAAUACUGAAACAUUCAAUUUCCCCAAUAAUCUUAUUUUCCGCCCUUGUUUCACCAUGAGUAGAGAUAGGGCCAAACAUCACUCAUUUUAGCCAAUUUUUUGUCUCAUCCCCAUUGAAGAAUAAUUUUGGGUCCGCCCCUGAGUAGAGGAGUGGAAUACUUUGUUCAUUCCAGAAGAAAUUAGAAGGAUCAACCUUGGUUUUCACCCGAACCAACCUAUUAAAAUUAUUCUUGAAAUAUUUGAUGCCCCAAAUUCUGGCUUUUGCAUAGCUUGUAUUACCUUUGUCAUUAACUCCUAUAUCAAGAUCUCUGUAGUUGAGAUAUGCAGCCCUUGGAAAUCUUGAAACAUAAGGAGUCAUGUAACUAUAAAGCUUUCUAAUCCAAUUUAUAUAGUUUUCUGAUGCUUCUACCUCUUCUUCGUCCCAGGACACCAAGUGCUGAAUUUUGUACAAAUUACCAGCUCUGUGAGGGAAGGGAAUCGCAGAUUCUGAAAUUUCAUGCAUUCUUCCACCAUAUGGAGUUAAGAACAUCUCAGCUUCCUCGGCUUCGUCCUCAAAAAACAAUUUCCAUAUUCCUUCAAGCCCAUUCUUAGAUAUAGGUUUUUGAACGUAGUCCGAUUUUGCUUUGAAGUAUCGUACAUUUGGCUGAGUCCUGUUCAGCAAGACAUCGCGUGAUUCUAUGGGAAACCCAGCCCAAUAUAGGACUGAUUCUAUCCAACUCAUUUCAGUACAAUCUUCUCUCAGCAAACCUAGUUCCGGGAAGCUUCGUUGCAUCAAAGGAAGCAAUGUAUCAACACCACCAAGGAACAAUGAGUUAAAUGUAGCCUGUAUUGUUCUCUCGCCAUCUUGGCUUGAAUUUACCCUUCGUAUAAGGAUCAUAAUGAGCAAAUCUUUGUCUAAUUUGUGCGCGACAUAUUGCCAUCGGUGUACUAUAUUUGUUGCAUUUUGAUCCAAGGUUUUGUUAACUGAAAACACAGUGACUCUUUCUGGAACAUCCACCAGUUGUAUCUUCCAAGCAAGAAUGACUCCAAAACUUGCACCUCCACCUCCUCUUAUGGCCCAGAAGAGAUCUUCGCCCAUGGAAUUUCUGUCGAGAAUUCUUCCAUUGACAUCAACCAUGCGCGCAUCAAUUAUAUUAUCUGCUGCAAGCCCAUAUUUUCUUAAUAUUGGUCCGUAACCUCCUCCACUGAAGUGUCCGCCAACUCCAACAGUAGGGCAAACACCAGCAGGAAACCCUAGGGUUUGACUGUUCUCUGCAAUUCUAUAGUACAAUUCGCCGAUUGUUGAGCCAGCUUGAACCCAUGCAGUUUUUUCCUCAACAUCAACGCUUAUUUGCUGUAGGUUGAUAAGAUCAAGGAUGACAAAAGGGACUUCUGAUGUAUAAGAAAGUCCUUCAUAGUCAUGACCACCACUUCGAACACGUAUUUGCAAGCCAUUUUCUCUGGCGCAAUAUAGAACAGACUGAAUCUGGGAUUCAUGCGUAGGGGUAACAAUGACUAAUGGCUUAGGCGUUGUGUCUGACGUGAACCGAAGGUUUUUUAUGGAGAAGUUUAGGACGGCUAAAUAUGAAGAGUUGUUAGGGGUAUAAAUAAUAUUGGAAAUGGAAGAGUAAUUGUCUGAUCGAAGGGACAUACAUUGAAGAAAAUCAUCAUGUCCAUCAGAAGAAACUGCUCAUGAACACGAAAAAAUAACUACAGAGGCAAAUAAAAAGGAAAAAAAUACUUGGAGUCUUCAUGAAAGUUUAACGUUAAGCUGAAUAACUUGUGUAUUGCAGAGCAUAGAACAGGUUCAAUUUAUAGUAUCCUGAAGGAGCAUGCUUAUUUUGAAAUUACAAUGAAUAUUAAUACGAACAUCAGGUUUGAAAUUCCCGCUAUAAUUUGAUUAUAUGUUAGUGAAUGGUUUGAUUAAAUUUGCUUUCAUGAACAAGUUUCUCAACAUUAUUUUGUUGAAUUACGUUAUCUUUCCAAUUUUUAUUUUCUAACUAAGGGAAGAAAAUUAUGUUUGCCUGGUGUAACAGAGUUGUAUUUUAAACAAGAAAUGUAUCCCAUUGGUUAUGUUGAAUAAUUAACUUAUUUUUAGAUUUUUCUUCAACGAAGAAGUCACAAAUUUCCAGAUUAUCUGAUAUUUCAAUGUCAUAUAUUUUGACAUUUCUUAAAUUUAUUUGAAUUUAUUGCCUGCGUUUAUAGACUCUGAUGAAUGUCUAAUUGAAUAUCUAUGCUUCUGGAAUGAACUGGAUAAACAUGAAUAGACUUAAAUCUACAAUCUUUAAGAGUUAAAAACUUGAUUUGCAUGCAAAGAUUUUUAUGAGUUGACUGAACAUAUUAAUUCUAAUUUUUUUCCGACACAAAAUUUUUUAGUCUGUAUUAAAAAUCUCUGAAUUGCAAAUCUGAACCGCUCACGUUACUGUGGGUGAUUUUGUUGACUUGCUUGUUGCCCACACAAACACCUGGAAUUAUUCCUCUGUGCUGAAUUGAUUCUCACCUUCGAGCUAGACCGGAUUUAUACAGUUUACUUAUUGCCCACGAAUUUUUAAUUAUAAUUGUUUUUGGUAUAGAGAGAGGUAAUUUAAAUGGAAAGUAUACUAGUUAGGAAAACUGGUUAGUGUGAAUUAUGGUAAACAUAUUUAUUUCUUCUAACUAGAGUGCUCACAUUUAAUUAAAAAAUUUUGAAAAUGAAAAGAAUAAUUUUUUUUUAAUUAUAUUACAAAAUUAGAAUAAUUCCAUAGAUACAGAAAAUUAUUGAAGAAACGAUACAGGUGCUGCGUUGGUUACAUCUCGAUCAUUCAUUUCCUAUGUUUGUUGUGCCAAAAACCAACGAGAAAUCGUCAAAUGUCUUUCUAUAAAAAUUCUGUCACUGUGGUUAGGGUCAUCUUUUGAGAGCGCUCUUGAAUAGUCAAAGCUGACUGAUCAUAUUAAUUCUAAAGAAAAGUCACUGUGUUUAGGGUCAAUUCUGAGCGUAGACCCUUGAAUUCUUGAAAAGCCUCUAAGAGAUUGAAGGAAGGACAGCUAAGACUAGAUUGAGUACGCAUGAUCAUCUUUAUCUAACAAUGGAAGUAAAAGGGCGGAAACAAACUUUUACAGAAUGGUGAAGCUUGUUUCAAUCAUACUAUAUAUGGACAAAUUUACACACACCUAUACAAGUCAGUAAAAGGAAAUGCAAUCAUACAUAUUAAAUGAAAUAAAUUAAUUGAUAUGUGCAAGCAAUGAAUCAAGAUCAUUGUGUAGGUUUUGGGGGCGUUGAUGGGUGAAUCAAGGUGAUUGUGUAGGAUUUGGGGAUGUUGAUGAGAUGGAUUUAUCUUCUUUCCUUAUAUGCCCCGCAAGAUCAUGCUUCCAUCAGAAGCAUCAAUCUUGGAUCGAAGAAGAGUGAAUCGCAACUUGGUUAAAGGCUUAGCAAGAACAUCAGCAAGUUGAUUGUGACUGGAUGCAUGAUUGACAAUAAAAAAACCCAUUGGAAAUUAACCUUAUCACACACAAAAUGGUAAUCAAGGGCAAUGUGCUUCAUCCUGGAGUGAGAGACUGGAUUUGAGCAUAAAUAUGAGGCACCGAGUUUGUCACAUAGUAGGUUUGAGGUCUGUGUUGGAGAAGCACUAAGUUAACCCUGAAGAUUAGUGAUCCAAGCAAAUUCUGUAGCAGUGGAUUGACGUACCGAUAUUUUGCUUCAGUGGAAGAUGUGGCGAUUGUCCGUGUAGAAAGGCAUUGUUUACAUCCAGCUGACUAAUUUUUAGGUAGAGCUAGUUUAAGAAGAAUGGUAGUAGGCCUGAUAACAUAAAUAAUUUUCACAAGGUAGUCUACACUAGGACGUUGAUUGAAACCCUUAGCAAGAAAUCGAGCUUUGUAGUGAUCAAUGCUACCAUUGGGUCAUCACUUAACUUGAAAAUCCCACUUGCAACCAAUGAUAGUCUGAUUGGUUUGGUGAGGAACAAGUUCCCAGGUUCUCUUUCGAAUUAUAGCACUAAGACUUUACACAUGGCUUCUUUCAAUUUGGGAUUGGUGAGGGAUUGUGAAACAGAGGUAGGUUCGAGAGUUUGAGAAAGGGGAUGUUUAUGUAUGACAGAGGAGAAUUUGGUUAGUUAUUUGAAAAUAUUGUUCUUGGAAUGCGUGGUCAUGGAAUGAGGGUUUGGUGGGUCUUCUACAUUAUGAGGUUUAGGUAAGAGCUAAGACAAAGUGCAGUCUAACUUUGAGGCAUUAGUACUCGUAGAUGGAGCAAGAGAUGCAUUGUUUGAAGAAGAUGCCAAGAUGAGAUCCAGUAGAAUGUCAUCACUGUGCAUGGUGUCCAAAAUAGGCAGUUGGAUAGAGAAGUUGCCGAUUGUUGAUGAGAUGGGAGUUGAUUCGUUGAAGAGUUGGGUCUUGUAGUAGAAUUUAAGUUUGGAGGUGAUCUGUGAUGGUCGUUUGUAUUCUGUGGAAGAGAAUAAAUAGGACUUUAUUGUGUGAUAAGUGAGGACGAACUUAGUGACUUUGUUUUGAGGAGUGUUUUCAAAUUGAAGUGAAUUAAGGAAAGGAAAGUUUGAUGCCCUUAUUGAAAGAUUAAAAUUAUUUAUUUUGUCAUGCUCAUUUAAAGGCGACAAAGAGGGAAAAUGAUUUUCAAUAAAAUGAACAUGUCAGGAAAAUAGAUUUUGUGGUUUACAGGUUCAUAACAGAAAUAAGAAUUGUGAACAUUUAAAUAACCCAGGAAAAUUGUGAUUCGUAUAAUGUCUAAGGCAUCCAAAAUCUUCCAAUUUGAAAUAAUUUUGUAAGUUAAUACACAAACAUUCAUAUGGUGAUUUAUUAUCAAGUAAAGAUGUAGGGAGUCGAUUGAUAAGAUAAACUAUAGCAUUAAAUGCAUAAGACAAAGAAAGAGAGGCAUUACAACAAAACUGUGAUUUCGUGACAUAUCUUUUUGCGACAUAUGAAAAGUUGUUGCAAUAAGUGGUUAAGCACGACACAUUUUUAAAAUUUGUUGCAAAAAUUGUGGUUAAAAAAUAAGUAUAAAAGAAUAUAAGGUGACAUAAAAAGUUGUUAUGAAAUGUAAGAAGGUCGCGACAAAUAAUAAAGAAUGUCGCCAAACACAUGAGAGAAGUCACCAAAAUAUUUUUUGGUGGAAAACUUAUGACGACAAACGUUUAUUUCUUGCAACAAAGUAUUCAUGUAGCAAUAGAGUUUACUUUUUGCGACGAAGAAUAUUUGUUACCAAUAAAAGAUUUCAGUCACCACAAUUACGUUUCUAGGUGAAGAUAUUUUAAAAUAAAUAAAUAGUAAAUUAAAAUAUUUCCACUGUACAAUUAAUUACUUAAAUUAUUUUAUAGUAAUAGUUUCAAAUGAAAAUAUUUAACUAAUUAAUUCAAUGGUGUCGUCCUGCCCCGAAUGUGACAAAAAAACCUGCCCCGUGAAGAAAAAGUAAAAAAAAAAAAAAUCAAAAAUAAUUUUAUUUCUAAACAAUUCAUCCUUUAAAAACUUAUUUUAAAUUUGUAUUUUAUUUUCUAAUAAUAACAUAAUUCGAAACUUUCAAAAUGUGAAAAAUAAUAAUAAUAAUAAUAAUAAUAAUAAUAAUAAUAAUAAUAAUAAUAAUAAUAAUAAAAUUAAACGGGGCAAAAAGUUGUCCCGUACCUGCCCCGCCCCGUCUAAGGCGGGGCGGAGUGGGAUGAGGGUGCCCCGCCCCGAGCCCGUCCCGUUGCCAUCACUAUAACCAAUGUUAUAAAAAUCAAACCUGACGAUCGAUUCAACUUCCAGUUAUUGCUCAAAACCCAUUUAAUAUAUAACCGGUACAAAAAAAAAAUAAUAAUAAUAAUAAAAUCAGAAAUUAGCCUAUUGACCGCUGAUUGGAUGACACAGCACCGAUUUCCGAUUUUGUCGGUUGGCUAAUGGGUUUAAAAAUUAUUGUUUUCUACUUUCAGCAAUGAAAGACCACAAUAAAAUAUGUGUUUGAUUACGAGCAUGAAAUUUACAUAGAAAGAAAAUAAAUUUUAGAUAAUUCAAUUAUCUAGAACUUAUUGGAAUAGAAAUUAUUAGUUAAACGUGUUUGAUUGAUUUAGUUUUCAACUUUAGAAAAUAUAAUAUUUGAACAUUUUUUUGUUGGUGGGUAGAUGAUAGAGACAAAAUAAAUUGCAUGAAAAAUGAAAAUCAUCUCUCUCUAAAAAUAUGUUUUCCUUUUUUUUGAGACCAAAAGUUGGAAAACACUUUUCAUAAAACUAAAUAAAUAUAUAUAUAUCAACCAAACACCCCAAAAGUAGGAGAUGAAAAUGGCAAUUUUUUCAUGAAAAAUAAAGUAAAUAAUACACACUCUAAAAGUAUUAAAUAAUUCCCAGGAUCUUUCAUUUAAUUUUAUUAUGUCGACACAAUAAAAUACUAUAAAAGUAUCAAACACCAUAUUACAAAAUAAAAAUUGAGAAUAAUGUAAUGUAGGCCCAUUGGGGUUAUCCCACUGUAGUUACAAUCCCAAUUUAAGUGGUGCUAAAUGAUAGACUGAAUGAAAUAUGGGAUUAAAUUACUUACUUAAUUCUACAUUUCAUUUAAUGUCAUAUUAACGCCACUUAAGUUGGGGAUGUAACUCCAAUUGGGUUAAAUAACAUUACUAAAAAAUUAAAUGUACCUAAGUUUAAUCAUUAAUGGGUGCUUUUGUCUAUGUAUUAAUUAAUUUUUUUAAAAAAAUUAACGUUUUAUCAAUUAUUUUGAUAGACAAUUAAUGUAUUUAUUUAUGACAAUUGGUUAGACCUUUCAAUCCUUAAUCCUUUAGCUUUUACAGGUCAACAUUCCAAUCGAUUUUCAAAAAAUUGCCUACAACUUAUAAACUACAAUAAAUAGAUUACUCAUACAAAAUCAUUAAGAAAUUUUACUUAAUUCAACUUAUUGACCAAAAAUUAGCAACUUAGGGUAUGAGGAUAUGAAAAUCCAACACCGUUUGAAUAUAUAUAAUGUAUGAUUAUAAAUCCAUGUACUUCAUGGCUGGCUAUGGUUUCUUCUUCAAGUAUGUGGCCACCCUCUGUUUCUUCAGGUUGGCUGUUGGAUUGGUGGUGAUUACCCUCUCUUCAUCACAAUCAAGUCUGAAUGCGCUAAUAAAAAGAUCCGCGGACCGUUCAUAGUUGUGGUUUUCGAGAUGCAAGGAUUUGAGAUUCUAACUAAUGGUCUCCGUAUCAUUUGAUCAUGCAUAUAAGGCUCCAAUGUACAAGGAGAAUGUGGCACUCUCGACCGUACCACUACUGACUAUAUUUGGUGCAUUAUUUUGAUGUUCGAAGCCAUCCUAGCUUUGCUCACUUUCUACUGGCAUGUGAAGAUGCUUGACGCAGCCCUUUACACGUCCUUGUAGCCAAAAAUGCAAAAUAAGCAGUGCAAGACAAGGCUAAGGUGUUAAACAUUGAACUCGAAGCUGAAGAGGAGAAAUUAGAAAAAAUAGCCAAGAAGCUAGCGAAUUCAUUCGGCUUAUUUUCUAAGGAAUUCUGAGCUGUUAUAAUCCUGUCCCUUAGAAUCAAACUUGUCAACUAACCUGAUGCUAGAGCUUGUAGUAUUAGCAUUUCUAUCCUCAGAUUUUCAAAGUCUUUGAUUAACUUAUUUUGCUGUGUAUAUAGUGCUGAUAAGUGACCCAGGUUCUUCCUACUCAAAGCAUCUGCUACUACAUUAACUUUACCUAGAUGGUAAUGGAUUGUACAAUCAUAAUCUUUUACUAACUCUAACCAUUGUUGUUGUGUCAUACUUAAUUCCUUCUGGGUAAAGAAGUACUUGAGGCUCUUAUGGUCACUGUAAAUUUCACACUUGCUUCCAUACAAGUAAUGAUGCCAAAUCUUCAGAGCGUGAACUACCAUUGCAACUUCUAAAUCGUGUGUCGAAUAAUUUUUCUCAUACUACUUUAAUUGUCUUGAUGCAUAGGCUAUCACCCUUCUAAAUUGCAUCAAAACAAAACCUAAACCUAGCUUGGACACAUCACUACAGAUAACAAAUCCCUCUGAUUCAUCUGGAAUUGCUAACAUUGGAGUGGUUACUAAUCUAUUUUUCAAUUCUUGGAAGCUCUGCUUCACACAUCAGUCCAUACAAAUUUUACACCAUUUCAAGUUAGUUGUAUCAAGGGACCAGCUAUCUUGCAGAAGCCUUCUAUAAAUCGUUGAUACUAUCCAGCUAAAUAUAGAAAGCUCAUUAUGUCUCCAAUAUUCGCAGGUCUUUGCCAGUUAGUAACAGCUUCAACCUUAUUUGGGUCUACUUCUAUACCAUUGGCUGUCAUAAUGUGUCCCAAAAAUCCUAUUCGAUCUAGUCAAAAUUCAUACUUCUUGAAUUUGGCAUACAAUUUUUCCUUAUGUAAAGUUCCUAGAAUGUUCCUCAAAUGGUUUUCAUGCUGUUGAUAAUCUCUUGAAUACACUAGUAUGUCAUUAAUAAAGGCAAUAGCGAAUUUUUCCAGGUACUAAUGGAAUACUCUAUUCAUCAAAUACAUAAAUAUCGUAGGGGCAUUCGUAAGUCCAAAUAGCAUAACUGUAAACUCAUAAUGUCCAUAGCAAGUUCAAAAUACUAUUUUAGGUAUGUCACUCCGCUUGAUAUUUAGUUGAUGAUAGCCUGACCUCAAAUCAAUCUUUGAAAUUACGGUUGCACCAUACAAUUGAUUAAAUAAGUUUUCAAUUCUUGGGAGAGGAUAUUUAUUUUUAACAAUUAGCUUGUUCAUCUCUCGAUCAUCAAUAUACAUUCUCAUAAUUUCAUCUUUCUUUCUCACAAAAAGUACUGGAGCUUUCCAUGGAGAUGCGCUGUCUAAUAAAACCUUUAUUUAGAAGUUCCUCAAAAUGUAUUUUUAACUCUUGUAAUUCUAUUGGUGCCAUACAGUGUGGAGUCUUAGACACUGGUGAAACUUCGGGUAUCCAAUCUAUUGUAAACUUCACUUGUCUAUCAAUUGGGGCACCCGAUAGGUCAUUAGGAAAUACGUCAGCAUAUUCUUGCACAACAGGCAUUUUAUCCAAUGUUAACUCUUCUGAUGGUGUGCCAGUAAGACUAACAAGAUAUCCUCGAUCAAUUUUCUUCCUCAAUAGCUUUUUCGCUUGCAUAGCUAAGAUCAAACAAGGAGGUACCUUAACUUCUACUCAUAAUAUCUAAACUCUUCAUCUCUAGGUCUUUUAAUGUUUACCUCCUUCUCAAAACAUACAAUUGUAGCUCUAUUGCUACCUAACCAAUCCAUAUCCAAGAUAAUAUCAAAAUCUUUUAGUUCUAUGACAUGUAAAUCUGCCUCAAGGAUUAUCCCAUCACAUUCUAUUUGUACUACCUUAGCAAUCUUAUUUGUAUCAACAACUGCUUCUAGUGGCAUAUUAACCUCUAGUGUACUAUUAGUUUUCUCGCAUGAAACAUUGAUAUUGGGUAGGCAUGUUGCAAAUAUAAAUGAAUGCAUCGCGUCAAAAUCAAUAAGAAUGUAAACAAAAAUAUCGUAAAAAGAUAAAAUACCUGUAAUGACAUCUUGAUCCUAGAUAGCCUCAUCAUGCGUCAUGGAAAAGAUUCUUGGAUUCCCUUUCUUCAUCUAUUCAAUAGCCUUAACCGGCGCUGCUCGACAUCCUGAAGCAUAAUGUCCUGUCUGCCCACACUUGUAAUAGACAUUCUUGCCACAUAAAUGUUCACCCCUAUGGGAUUUCUUACACUUAGGGCAUGGAGGAAAAUGAUUGUCUAAUUGUCGGUUGGUAGGCCUAUUAUUCUAAUUCUUGAAUUGUCCGGAGCUCUUAUCCUCAACCUAAUCGUGCCACUUUCUUUUUCUAGUAUCAUUUUGUAGUCCCUAGUUUCGAAGUUUAAAACUCGAGAACAAUACAGCUUCACCUUCUUUACAACUUCUUGAUAAGUGGUAAGUUUAUGCGAACUCACUAUCUACCUAAUCUCAUGGCACAAUCCAUUCUCAAAGCAUUUUGGUUUCAUGAGCUCUGUACUCGCAAGAUGUGGGGCACAACGGGAUAAUUCCUCAAACUUCCUCUCACAUUCCGUGAUGUCCUUAUCUUCAUGUCUUAGUUGUAAAAAUGGUCUCCUUGUGGUCAGGAAGGGCUUGCGAAAAAUAUUUCUCAGUCAACUGCAUCUUGAGUUGGGUCUCAUAUUACGUUGUUCUUCCUCUGUCCGUCUCCGUGAUGCGAAUUCUCAUUAAUGGCCGGCUAUUCAGACCAGCAUGAAUUUUGCUGAUAUGAUCCAGGAGUCGAGCCUAACGAAGGCAAGUGCGAGAUGAGACACGUUGAUAGUCGAUGGCGAACCAAUGACGCGAUCAAGGGCAAAGCAAGUGAAACAAGCGAUGGGAUUGGUCGUUCAAGAAACCAUUGAUGGAACCAUGUUCGGGACUCAAAUGGAGCAACUUUCAUUUUCGGGUCGAAGGCCGAAUCAACUUGGAUCAAUUUGUUAUCAAGCGACGAAAUCGGAGGCUGAAAACAAACACAGCAUGCAGCUGCACAGUGGCAUACUGAAAACUAAUAUUGCAUUUCUUGUUGAACCAUGCACUGCAUGGAAUUACACCAUGCGGCCACACAAGCCCAAAAAAAAUGGCGAAUUUUCUAAUUUUGGCCAAAGUUCCUAGUUUCGAUAGAAUUCUUAUGAAAUCAAAUUAUUACCAUAAUUUGAUGAAUUUUGGACAUUUUUACUCCUUAGUAUAAAUAGGAGAAUACUUUUCAUUGUAACAACUUUUGACUUUUGCUUAAUAUUAUAGAGAGAGAAUUGUUCUUUCAAUUUCUUGUUCUUCUUGAACAAUCUUGGAACUUAUCAAGAUUCAACUUCUUAUGGCGUUCUAAUCAAUCAGAUUGUGGGUUCUUUUAAUUGUAAUCAAGGGGCUUUAGGUUCUUCGCUAAUCUAGAGUUUCUUGGUUCAAUUCUUGGGGUUCAAGAUCCAAAACCAGGUUAGUAUUGGCGUUAUUGGGUUCUGCAUCAAUCUCGUUGUAGGUUUCGUAGUUUCCAUUGCUACGGGGUUUGCAUCAGUUGGUAUCAGAGCUUUGGCUCCAAUUUAAUCAGGUUAUAUCCUUUGUUUUCUAAAUUUUUUUCAAUUCCUUGUGUUCUUGUGUCUAGAAGAUUUUCUUGAUCUUUUGAUCCAAAAGUUUCAUCAAAAAUCUUCAAAUUCCGUUUCUGGGCUCAAUUUUCGCCCGAAUCAAUUUUUGUUUUCUUUGUUGGUUUUGUUAUAGAUUUUCGGAUCUAAAAAAAAUUACUUUUCAUCUGUACGGUACUGUUCAUCCGUACAGUAAAAAAACUUGUUAAAUAUUAUUGAUCCGUCAAAUACCAACUUUUAUUAUUCAUUGUCGUUUCUAAAUUACUUGGACACAUUAAAUCAUUCCAUUCCUUCAAUUCAAAUCAAGCUUUAAAAUUUUUCUUUGAGUCCUUUGUUACAAUUAUUGAGUCACAUUCGGUUUGGGGAAUUCUACACGAUUUGAUUGAUUGAUUGAGUUCAUUGAUUAUUCCUAGAAGCAAUUGUUGAAAGAACUGAGUGGUAAAAGGCAGAGAGGUGAGCUUAAUAAAGGGUAAAAGCCCUUGUGUGUUUUCGAGUGACUUUUGGUAAGGCAGUAAAAUAAAAUCUUUAGUGUUAGGAUGUCAGAAAGGGCAGAAUCAAACUCAAGCCGAUAAGGCAAUAAUAGCAAUGCAUUGGAGGAUUUAGUGCAAAGGUUUGAGAGGGCGUUUGGAGAUGUGAGAGAUAGGUUGGAGAAGCAGGAGGCUUGGAUGAAUAGAUUAGAUACAUCAGUGGCUAAUCUUAGUCGGGGGCAUCGAGUGGAUGUAUCCAAUGCUAGAGGACCGAAUAGAUGGGAGCCUAGGAGGGAAAGGUGAGAGGAGUAUGGAUAUGGGAAUGACAUGGGCGAAGAUGAAUUUCAUGGUGUUGAGAUGAGAAGGAUGAGGAAUAAAGGCGAUAGGUUCGACAGACGGGGUCGGAAUGAUCGCGGGGAGGAGUUGGUUGGAAACUUGGGAAAUAUAAAAAUGACAGUUCCUUUAUUCAAAGGAAGGAGUGAUCCUGAGGCAUACCUGGAGUGGGAAAGGAAGGUUGAAAUGAUCUUCAAGUGUUAUAACUACUCGGAGGAGAAAAAGGUGAAGUUAGCAGUUUUGGAGUUUAGUGACUAUGUAAUUUCAUGGUGGGAUCAAGCGAUUACUUCACAACGUAGGAGUGGGGGAAGACCAAUCAGCACUUGGGAGGAAUUGAAGUCAUUGAUGAGAAAGAGGUUUGUUCCUAUUACCGAGAGAUCCAUCAAAAAUUGCAAGGUCUAUAUCAAGGGUCGAAAAGUGUAGAGGACUGUGCAAUUAUAUGCAAUUAUGUGUUCGAAUUUCAUGAUUUUUACGGAAAUAUCUUUUAUUAUGAUACAUGUGGGAUUUCAAAGAUUGUAUAUGUUACAUUGUGAAUUGGAAUAUGAGAUAUGAUUUUGAGAUCGACCAGAAAAGUACCCGUGAUUAUAUAUUUCUUCUAGUUCACUGAGGGGCCUUGGUCGUGUUCUAUACUACACUGAGGGGUCAUGGACCGGGAAUGAAGGGGUCUCGACCGUGUACAUAUAGUUCACUGAGGGGCCUUGACCGUGUUCUAGAAUUGAUUAUGAGAGGUCUUUGAGACCGACUUUCGUUCACGGAGGGGCCAAAGGCCCGUGGCGAAAGUUCUUAGCCCGAGGGGCGGAUUACAUAUUUCAGUCAGAGGGUACAUUUUUGGUGGAUUUUUCAGCACGUUUGAUGUGAUGAGAUUGUAGCAUGGUUAUCAACUGGUGUUUAUAUCAUGAUUUUGAGAUGAUAUUUUACGACCUUAUGUGAAUAUUUCACUUUUGGUUAUAAUUACAAGAUGUUAUCUUAUGAAUUAUGAAAUGAUAUGAACUUCAUUUUCGGUAGAAAUGUAAAAUUGAAAAAGUAUAAUUAUUUUUGAACUGCUCUACUCACUGAGUUAUCAACUCAUAUAUUUUCCCACGAUUUUUCCUACAGGUGGAAAUUGGUCAUUUUUAGCUGGAAGAGCCUAAUGAUUUCUGAAUGAGAGCCACACGACAUGUUAAAUAUUAUAACUCAUAUUGAUGAAGCACGGAGCAAAUAUUUUGGGCCCAUCGCAUUAUAUUUUACAUAAGCAUUUGGUUUUAUUGCAUUUUUUUGAAAUAACUCCUAGUUAGUCUUGGUGAUAGAUUUGACAUCUAGUCAGCUUCUAUCAUCGACGCACGUCACAUUUCGGCUGAGAGUGGAGAAAAGAAAGAGAAGCCACAUGAGUGGAGAGAAAAGGAGUCAGUUGAGAGGAAAGAAGAAGAGUCAACUGAGUGGAGAGAAAAGCCAAAGGGCAACUUCUAUGCAAAAGAGAGUG
RNAcentral lists this long non-coding RNA (17600 nucleotides) under Olea europaea (common olive). RNAcentral's name for it is "long non-coding RNA (OEUR_LNC011792)". The record is from RNAcentral. Lineage: Eukaryota; Viridiplantae; Streptophyta; Magnoliopsida; Lamiales; Oleaceae.